Molecule: long non-coding RNA, 288 nt
Organism: Hippocampus comes (tiger tail seahorse)
Lineage: Eukaryota; Metazoa; Chordata; Actinopteri; Syngnathiformes; Syngnathidae
Exons: 3
Source: RefSeq, a predicted model, not a curated record
CUCACGGGCCAGGGUCUUGGAUAUUUCAUAUGACUCCCUCCUCCAGCACAACGAUUCAAAUGAUCCAAAAUAGCCUGUCACCCAGGCAUUGAGAACGUUUGACGUGAGGGAGGCAGAGAGUGUCGACCGUCACAGUCCCCAGGGCAGAGGGACGAGGGUGGUGGCUGAGAUGACCGGGUGUCACUUUGGAUCUCAAGGCGAUGGUGUCCCAAGCACUAAAGUUAAUCUUUACCUCUGGAGACGGGCACAUUCGCUGUUGAGAGGGCACAUCGAGUCCUGAUGAGGACA